AGAGUUUGAUCAUGGCUCAGAACGAACGCUGGCGGCGUGGAUAAGACAUGCAAGUCGGACGAGAUUUCGUCCUGUAGCAAUACGGGAAGAAGUCUAGUGGCGAACGGGUGCUUAACACGUGGGCAAUCUGUCUUAAAGUGGGGGAUAGCUCGGCGAAAGCCGAAUUAAUACCGCAUGUGAUUAGAGUGGACAUCCAUUCAAGAUUAAAGUCGGGGCAACCUGACGCUUUUUGAGGAGCCCGCGGCCUAUCAGCUAGUUGGUGAGGUAACAGCUCACCAAGGCUUUGACGGGUAGCUGGUCUGAGAGGACGACCAGCCACACUGGGACUGAGACACGGCCCAGACACCUACGGGUGGCAGCAGUCGAGAAUUUUUCUCAAUGGGGGAAACCCUGAAGGAGCGACGCCGCGUGGAGGAUGAAGGUCUUCGGAUUGUAAACUCCUGUCAUUGGGGAACAAUGCGUGACGGUUAACUGCCGUCGCGUUGAUAGUACCCGAAGAGGAAGAGACGGCUAACUCUGUGCCAGCAGCCGCGGUAAUACAGAGGUCUCAAGCGUUGUUCGGAUUCAUUGGGCGUAAAGGGUGCGUAGGCGGCGCGGUAAGUCGGGUGUGAAAUCUCGGAGCUUAACUCCGAAACUGCAUUCGAUACUGCCGUGCUCGAGGACUGGAGAGGAGACUGGAAUUUACGGUGUAGCGGUGAAAUGCGUAGAUAUCGUAAGGAAGACCAGUGGCGAAGGCGGGUCUCUGGACAGUUCCUGACGCUGAGGCACGAAAGUCACGGGAGCAAACGGGAUUAGAUACCCCGGUAGUCCUGACAGUAAACGGUGCACGUUUGGUGUGGGAGGAUUCGACCCCUUCUGCGCCGGAGCUAACGCGUUAAACGUGCCGCCUGGGGAGUACGGUCGCAGAUUAAAACUCAAAGAAAUUGACGGGGCCCGCACAAGCGGGGGAGUAUG
Molecule: ribosomal RNA, 954 nt
Filed under: uncultured bacterium
Lineage: Bacteria
Description: bacterial SSU rRNA
Rfam family: Bacterial small subunit ribosomal RNA
Source: RNAcentral